This 491-nucleotide ribosomal RNA is filed under the name uncultured bacterium. RNAcentral describes it as "partial 16S ribosomal RNA". It matches the Rfam family "Bacterial small subunit ribosomal RNA", at positions 29 to 506 of the family's 1533-position model. The record is from RNAcentral.
AGUGAACGCUGGCGGUAGGCCUAACACAUGCAAGUCGAACGGCAGCACAGUAAGAGCUUGCUCUUACGGGUGGCGAGUGGCGGACGGGUGAGGAAUACAUCGGAAUCUACUUUUUCGUGGGGGAUAACGUAGGGAAACUUACGCUAAUACCGCAUACGACCUACGGGUGAAAGCAGGGGAUCUUCGGACCUUGCGCGAUUGAAUGAGCCGAUGUCGGAUUAGCUAGUUGGCGGGGUAAAGGCCCACCAAGGCGACGAUCCGUAGCUGGUCUGAGAGGAUGAGCAGCCAGACCGGAACUGAGACACGGUCUAGGCUCCUACGUGAUGCAGCAGUGGGGAAUAGUGGACAAUGGGCUCAAGUCUGAUCCAGCCAUAACGCGUGAGUGAAGAAGGCCUUCGGGUUGUAAAGCCCUUUUGUUGGGAAAGAAAAGCAGCAGGUUAAGACCCCUCUGGUCUGACGGUACCCAAAGAAUAAGCACCGGCUAACUUCGU